CAGGUGCUGCGUCAGCAAAUAAAGACUCUUGAAGAGGCACUGGAGGAGGAGGAGAUGUGCCAGCAGCAGAGGAAGAAGGAGGCAGAGGUGCCGGGGACUACACUGCCGGAGCUGGUGGAAGCACAGCUGGACGCUCAUCCUGCUCUUGGUCAGCCUGCAGCUGGCUGUCGGCUUUGCUCUGGCUGCUGUUGUCCUCUACGCCUCCUGGUACGACCCCGAGCUCUUCCACCGCCUGCUGUUGCAUGUGCUGUGUGAGACCAACAUCGACCAGGCAAUUGCACUGGGAAAGAUCUUCCCCAGGGUCAUGGACGGGCCGCUGCCCUUCUGACAGCCCCCCACCCUCAAUAAAGCCUUUUCUACCUGAA
Non-coding RNA from Phalacrocorax carbo (great cormorant), 365 nucleotides. NCBI's taxonomy places the organism in Eukaryota, Metazoa, Chordata, Aves, Suliformes, Phalacrocoracidae. The record is from RefSeq and is a predicted model, not a curated record.